GCCGGUCCUCGGUAGUGGCCCCCGGGGGGAAGCCCCGGGUGCUUCGAUCGAAGACCGGC
Streptomyces swartbergensis is the source of this 59-nucleotide regulatory RNA element. It matches the Rfam family "Actino-pnp RNA". The record is from Rfam. Lineage: Bacteria; Bacillati; Actinomycetota; Actinomycetes; Kitasatosporales; Streptomycetaceae.